CCUCCUUUUCUUGGCAGAUCCAGGCGGUGCAGUGCCUGGGGAGGCAGAUGAGGGGGAUCCAUCCCUCCGUUGUUCUGUCUUCGGUGCCAGUGGCUUCCCAUCUGCUGGUUCUAUCCUCAAACUCCGGGACACGC
This is a small nucleolar RNA of Pelodiscus sinensis (Chinese soft-shelled turtle), 134 nucleotides long. Ensembl annotates it as small nucleolar RNA SNORA57. The record is from Ensembl. Lineage: Eukaryota; Metazoa; Chordata; Testudines; Trionychidae.